Molecule: ribosomal RNA, 797 nt
Filed under: uncultured bacterium
Lineage: Bacteria
Description: bacterial SSU rRNA
Rfam family: Bacterial small subunit ribosomal RNA
Source: RNAcentral
AGAGUUUGAUCAUGGCUCAGGAUGAACGCUAGCGGCAGGCUUAAUACAUGCAAGUCGAGGGGCAGCAGUCCCGUAGCAAUACGGGAACUGGCGACCGGCAAACGGGUGCGGAACACGUACGCAACUUUCCUUCAACUGAGGAAUAGCCCAGGGAAACUUGGAUUAAUACCUCGUAAUAUUAUGAAAUGGCAUCAUUUUAUAAUUAUAGCUCCGGCGGUUGAAGAUGGGCGUGCGCCUGAUUAGGUAGUUGGCGGGGUAACGGCCCACCAAGCCUACGAUCAGUAACUGGUGUGAGAGCACGACCAGUCACACGGGCACUGAGACACGGGCCCGACUCCUACGGGAGGCAGCAGUAAGGAAUAUUGGGCAAUGGACGCAAGUCUGACCCAGCCAUGCCGCGUGGAGGAUGAAGGUCCUCUGGAUUGUAAACUUCUUUUAUUUGGGAAGAAACCCAUAUUUUCUAAUGUGGUUGACGGUACCAGAUGAAUAAGCACCGGCUAACUCCGUGCCAGCAGCCGCGGUAAUACGGAGGGUGCAAGCGUUAUCCGGAUUCACUGGGUUUAAAGGGUGCGUAGGUGGGCAGGUAAGUCAGUGGUGAAAUCUCCGGGCUUAACCCGGAAACUGCCGUUGAUACUAUCUGUCUUGAAUAUCGUGGAGGUUAGCGGAAUAUGUCAUGUAGCGGUGAAAUGCUUAGAUAUGACAUAGAACACCGAUUGCGAAGGCAGCUAACUACACGAUCAUUGACACUGAGGCACGAAAGCGUGGGGAGCAAACAGGAUUAGAUACCCUAGUAGUCC